This 377-nucleotide ribosomal RNA is filed under the name uncultured bacterium. RNAcentral's name for it is "bacterial SSU rRNA". It matches the Rfam family "Bacterial small subunit ribosomal RNA", at positions 525 to 896 of the family's 1533-position model. The record is from RNAcentral.
ACGUAUGGGGCAAACGUUGUUCGGAUUUACUGGGCGUAAAGAGUACGUAGGCUGUCAAGAAAGUCAAUAAUUAAAUUCCGUAGCUCAACUAUGUGGUCGUUAUUGAUACUUCUUGACUAGAGUUUUAUAGAGGUAGCAGGAAUUCCUGGUGUAGGGGUGAAAUCUGUUGAUAUCAGGAGGAACACCAAAGGCGAAGGCAAGCUACUGGGUAAAAACUGACGCUGAGGUACGAAAGCUAGGGGAGCGAAUGGGAUUAGAGACCCCAGUAGUCCUAGCUGUAAACGUUGUACACUAGUUUUUCGGUAAGCGUACGCGCUUAUUGAGAAACUGAGCUAACGCAUUAAGUGUACCGCCUGGGUAGUAUGCGCGCAAGCGUG